UAGUAUUCUAUUGCCAGCGCUUAAUUGCGCGGCGAUAAACCUUACACACAUUGUCUAGUUUUUUUGAACUUUGCUUUGGGUGGUGAGCCUGGCUUACUGCCCAAAGGUCUAAACACAUUUUUUUAAUGUUAAAACCUUUAACCAAUAGUCAUGAAAAUUUUUAACAAAAAUUAAAAUCUUCA
This 182-nucleotide unclassified non-coding RNA is filed under the name uncultured Wickerhamomyces. RNAcentral's name for it is "sequence contains ITS1". The record is from RNAcentral. Lineage: Eukaryota; Fungi; Ascomycota; Saccharomycetes; Phaffomycetales; Phaffomycetaceae.